GGAGAUGUGGCUCAGAGGUGGAGCACUUGCCUAGUAUGCAUGAGGCAUUGGGUUCAAUCCUCAGCACCA
RNAcentral lists this transfer RNA (69 nucleotides) under Marmota marmota marmota (Alpine marmot). It matches the Rfam family "tRNA". From Rfam's summary of the family: Transfer RNA (tRNA) molecules are approximately 80 nucleotides in length. The record is from Rfam by way of RNAcentral. RNAcentral also lists the same sequence under 1 other name. Lineage: Eukaryota; Metazoa; Chordata; Mammalia; Rodentia; Sciuridae.